This is an RNA transcript of Condylostylus longicornis, 1991 nucleotides long. It is a transcript of the gene named serine/arginine-rich splicing factor 2, with no coding region annotated. The transcript is spliced from 5 exons. The record is from RefSeq and is a predicted model, not a curated record. NCBI's taxonomy places the organism in Eukaryota, Metazoa, Arthropoda, Insecta, Diptera, Dolichopodidae.
UUUGUGUUGUCGGCCUUUCACUUUCGUCAUUCUUAAAUAGUGAACGUCGAAUUUAUUGCGCUUAAUAAAAAUAAAGUAAAAAAGAAUUAAAACGAGUAAAUUCACCUAAUAUAUUUUAAAAGUACAUAAAACUUUGAAAAUGAGUCGCGGUAAUCGACCUCCUCCUCGUAUAGACGGCAUGGUGUCUUUAAAGGUGGAUAAUUUAACGUAUCGUACAACACCAGAAGAUUUAAGGCGUGUUUUUGAAAGAUGUGGAGAAGUUGGUGAUAUAUAUAUUCCUAGAGAUCGGUUCACAAGAGAAAGUAGAGGUUUUGCUUUCGUAAGAUUUUUUGAUAAAAGAGACGCCGAAGAUGCACUUGAAGCAAUGGAUGGUAGAGUAGUUGAUGGAAGAGAGCUUCGCGUUCAAAUGGCUAGAUAUGGUCGUCCAACUUCACCAAGCAGAAGAGGAGGUGGUCGACGUGGUCGUGAUAACAGAAGACGCUCUCGUUCGCCAAGAUAUAGGCGCCGCUCCUAUUCUAGGUCGCGAACUCCAGAUAGUGUGUCGCCGAGACGAAGAGGUAAAUUCUCUCGUUCAAGAAGUGCUGAUAAAAACAGAAGCCGAAGCGGAAGUCGUAACAGAAGAAGUGAAUCAAGAAGCCCCAGGCGCAGCAGGAGUUAAAAAGCAUAACGUGUCAGAGCAUCCCAUCAUUAAAGCCGUUUACGAUCCAGAAAUAUUGGAUUCGUGUGCAGUUUUUGUGAAUAUUAUGCAGAAUUUAUGAUAGUAAAAGAUCAUGUAUAGAAAGAAAGCUGCUCGUUAAUUUUCGAUUUGGGUUUUAAUCAAAGAAUUCUGAAAUGGCUGAGAAUGCUGAGUUAGCUUUAUUGUGGUGUCAAAAAAAAAAGAAAAAAGCUGCAACCAGAUUUAUAUAGUUUUAAAAAAAAAAUUAAGAAAUUUAAUGGCAACACUUCUUAUAUUUGAUUAUUUUGUUCGAGACUAGAAGCAGUUUUCUAUUAAAAUAUUAAUUUUUGCAGUUCUUUAAUAUAAAUGCAGCAGUAAAUGUAUAGCGUAAAUUCAUCUUAUUACAUACCAGUAUUUGCCGAUUGUUAAAGUUUUAGGUUUUUUUUUUUUGUUUUUCGUCGCGUCUAUUUUAUUAAAAUUACGUUUCCAGUUUUAUUGCAAAGCAGUUUAAGUAUGAAGUUUUCCAGUGAUUCUUUGGCUUGGAAGCUGCUUGUCACCAUGUUACCUGUUUGCGGCAACUGAUUAUUGCAGUUUACGGGUCAUUUUGGCAGUCCUUCAGUGGUGUUUUUAAUAGGUAAAAUGAAAAAAAGGCUUAAAUCCUUUCAGUUUGUAAUCUAAAGAUAAGACAAUGGUGAAAUUUUUAUAUUUUAAAGUAAAUCCCAAUAAAAUUCUUUUUCAAACAUGACACAAAAACAAAUUUACAUGUAAAAUAUAAAAAUUUUAAUAUAUUUUGAGAUUAAAGUAGAAAAAUUUUGCUAGUAUCUCAAAAUCCCAUUGUUUUUGAUGAUAGCAUUUAGAAAUAGAAAGGAUGUUAAGCUAUAUUCAAUACCAGCAGCAAAGUUCCCAUUUUAAUUUUCUGCUACAUAUUUUUAUUAUUUUAUUUUUCAAUUAACUUUCCCAAACAACAAACGGAACCUCCGAAUAAUAUACAUAUGUACGAAAUUUCAAUUUUGUAUUUAAACUUGAGGUUUUUAUUUAGUUGGGUUCAGCUGUUUUAUUUCAAAAUUUCAAGUAUAGACGUAUUUUAAAAUUUUUAUUUGGUUAGAAAAGGCUUUGAGAAUUCUAAAAUUUAUAAUUUUAAAGAAAAAGUCGGGAAAUAUAACAAAAGGAUUAUUAUUUUUAACCAAUGGAUUAUGCUUGGUUUACAUUUUUAUAUAUACAUACAUAGAUAAUUAAUACAUACACAUAUGUACCUAUAUUAAGAGUCGUUCGAUUUCAAUUUGGGCUUUUUCAAAUAAAUGCAGAAAUCCCUACAAAGUCUUGAAUUUAAAAUAAA